UUUCGGCCUUCUAACAUCAUCUCUGCUCAUUUUCUCCUUUUUUUGAUUUUUCCUCCCCCACAAUCGCUCAUACUGGAAGUCCACCUCUGGCGACCUCCCACCAGCCUACCCUUGGCUCACCAUGCCGGCUACUUCCUUCUCUCCUUCCCUUGUUGCCAUAAACACCCUUUUGCUUCACCACCGCUGGUCUCUUUCAACCUAGCUACCUCCCCCCUCCAUUUAUAGUCUCCUAGCCAGCCACUUACCUUUUUCUAACUGAAGGAGAUCACUCUUUUCAGAAAAAUAAUUUUAAGUCGAAGGAUUUGGCCUUAGUCCUCCCUUGAGGGAGGUUUUCUCAAGUAUUUGGUGAUCCAAUUUUCUUGUUCGCAGGUUUCCCAGAAUGGACUUGUAUGUCAUCAAUGGAUUCAACAUACCAAUUCUCUGGAUUCAGUUUGGUGGUUGACGGUCGAUAUUGUGACGUAUUUGUGAUUUUCGCUUUUGUCCGGAAUUUACUUCUUGGAAUCAAAUGUCUCCCCAAUAUGUUAAAACAAUCAUACCACUUCCUUUAUGUGUUUUCUAUGUGCAUGUUUUAGUGUCCUAAGAUUUUAAUUUCCUUUAUAAAAUUACUUAUCAAUGAUUUUACUUCAAAAUAAAAA
Gossypium arboreum is the source of this 635-nucleotide long non-coding RNA. RefSeq lists it as uncharacterized. The record is from RefSeq and is a predicted model, not a curated record. The transcript has 2 exons. Lineage: Eukaryota; Viridiplantae; Streptophyta; Magnoliopsida; Malvales; Malvaceae.